AAAUAGGGAAAAAAACUCUGCCCACGAGCUCCUCUCUUCGCAGUAGCAGUUUCUGUCCAAGCUUCCAUUGUUGGGCGGUAUGGCGUCGCAUCUGCAACUCACCUACUCCCAAAUCCGAUUUUGCUCAAUUGGAUUCGGACGACAGCAACAAGAUGUGCCAUUUUUCUAUUUGACGGUAUGGCUUUCUGGGCAUGGCUUACCUACUCGCUAAGGUUCCAUUAUUCUAUUCCUCUUCGGACGUUGUCAAGUUUCAAUUAUGGGCUUCCUUCGAUUGUGAGGGGUUCGGAAUUCUCUCAUCUCUGGGUGGAUUUUUUCUAAACAGCAAGAUAAUCCAGAGAGGCGAGCAGGGUCGGCUCAGAGGUAGAGGUGGUGUUGAGUCGGCGUAGUUUUUAGGGUGAGUUUUGGGUUGGUCUGUGGAGCACAUAGUAUGUUGGGACUUUUGGGAAAUGUUAUGUAUAUAUGUGUAUGGAUACAGUUAGGUAUAUAGUACUCUGCUAUUGUAUUUUUGGAAUAUGAUGGAUAUGUAUGUACUUCUGCUGCUUAGAUGUUAUAUGCAAUGCACAGGAUACCACGGUCCCACUUCGGGCCGUGAUGAUGUUUGCUAUGCUCAA
Malania oleifera is the source of this 611-nucleotide long non-coding RNA. RefSeq lists it as uncharacterized. The record is from RefSeq and is a predicted model, not a curated record. Lineage: Eukaryota; Viridiplantae; Streptophyta; Magnoliopsida; Santalales; Ximeniaceae. The transcript is spliced from 2 exons.